This 917-nucleotide ribosomal RNA is filed under the name Spirochaetaceae bacterium enrichment culture clone B4145. RNAcentral describes it as "bacterial SSU rRNA". It matches the Rfam family "Bacterial small subunit ribosomal RNA", at positions 8 to 916 of the family's 1533-position model. The record is from RNAcentral. Lineage: Bacteria; Pseudomonadati; Spirochaetota; Spirochaetia; Spirochaetales; Spirochaetaceae.
AGAGUUUGAUCAUGGCUCAGAGCAAACGCUGGCGGCGUGUCUUAAGCAUGCAAGUCGAGCGGCAAGGCGGGGCGACCCGCCCUAGAGCGGCGGACUGGUGAGUAACGCGUGGGUAAUCUACCUUGGGCAUGGGGAUAGCCAUUAGAAAUAGUGGGUAAUACCGAAUACGCUCGCGGGGGGAAGGGUCCUGUGAGGAAAGGGUGCUACGGCACCGGCCUGAGAUGAGCUCGCGUCCCAUUAGCUAGUUGGUGAGGUAAGGGCCCACCAAGGCGAUGAUGGGUAGCCGGCCUGGGAGGGUGUACGGCCACACUGGGACUGAGAUACGGCCCAGACUCCUACGGGAGGCAGCAGCUAAGAAUAUUCCGCAAUGGACGAAAGUCUGACGGAGCGACGCCGCGUGGAUGAAGAAGGCCGAAAGGUUGUAAAGUUCUUUUGCGAGGGAAGAAUAACCGCAGGAGGGAAUGCCUGUGGGAUGACAUGAACUUGCGAAUAAGCCCCGGCCAACUACGUGCCAGCAGCCGCGGUAACACGUAGGGGGCGAGCGUUGUUCGGAAUUACUGGGCGUAAAGGGCAUGUAGGCGGUCUGGUAAGCCUGGCGUGAAAGACCACAGCUUAACUGUGGGGUUGCGUUGGGAACUGCUGGGCUUGAGUGACGGAGAGGGAGCUGGAAUUCCUGGUGUAGGGGUGAAAUCUGUAGAUAUCAGGAAGAACACCGAUGGCGAAGGCAAGCUCCUGGCCGAUGACUGACGCUGAGGUGCGAAAGUGUGGGGAUCAAACAGGAUUAGAUACCCUGGUAGUCCACACGGUAAACGAUGUGCACUAGGUGCUGGGGCGGUAGCCUCGGUGCCGGAGCGAACGUGGUAAGUGCACCGCCUGGGGAGUAUGCUCGCAAGGGUGAAACUCAAAUGAAUUGACGG